GAUGAACGCUGGCGGCGUGCCUAACACAUGCAAGUCGAACGAAGCACUGAAAACGGAGAUUCGUCGAAGUUUUCUUUGACUUAGUGGCGGACGGGUGAGUAAUGCGUGAGCAACCUGCCUUUCAGAGGGGGACAACAGUUGGAAACGACUGCUAAUACCGCAUAACAUAUUCGGAUCGCAUGGUCUGAAUAUCAAAGAUUUAUUGCUUUGAGAUGAGCUCGCGUCCAAUUAGCUGGUUGGUGAGGUAACGGCCCACCAAGGCGACGAUUGGUAGCCGGACUGAGAGGUUGAACGGCCACAUUGGGACUGAGACACGGCCCAGACUCCUACGGGAGGCAGCAGUGGGGAAUAUUGCACAAUGGAGGAAACUCUGAUGCAGCGACGCCGCGUGAGCGAUGAAGUAUUUCGGUAUGUAAAGCUCUAUCAGCAGGGAAGAUAAUGACGGUACCUGACUAAGAAGACUCCGGCUAAAUACGUGCCA
Molecule: ribosomal RNA, 481 nt
Filed under: uncultured bacterium
Lineage: Bacteria
Description: bacterial SSU rRNA
Rfam family: Bacterial small subunit ribosomal RNA
Source: RNAcentral